CGAGGAAGGUCGGGACUCCACAGGGCAACGGUGCUGGCUAACGGCCAGUCGGGGCGACUCGAAGGAAAGUGCAGCAGAGAACAGACCGCCGAUGGCCCGCCCCAGCGGGCACAGGCAAGGGUGAAACGGUGCGGUAAGAGCGCACCAGGGGUCGGGGCGACCCGGCUCGCUCGGCAAACCCCACCGGGAGCAAGGCCAAGCAGGGGACAUGGCGGCCCGCCGCCCCGUCAGGGGCAGUCCCCGGGUAGGCCGCAAAGAUGGAUGGCCACCCACGGUCCGCGAGGACCUGGACAGAAUCCCGCCUACAGGCCGACUCACCGU
This 321-nucleotide RNase P RNA is filed under the name bacterium. RNAcentral describes it as "partial RNase P RNA component class A". It matches the Rfam family "Bacterial RNase P class A", at positions 42 to 367 of the family's 367-position model. From Rfam's summary of the family: Ribonuclease P (RNase P) is a ubiquitous endoribonuclease, found in archaea, bacteria and eukarya as well as chloroplasts and mitochondria. The record is from RNAcentral.